UCCUCUCAAAAAACUAAUUUACUCAAAACCAAGUGUUGAUUCAUUAACAAGUUUAUAAAACAGUGAUUUAGUUACAUAAAUAAAUCGAUCAGUGUAUCAAAUCUUAGUUUCAACUUCAUGAGCAUGUCGACAUGGUUGUACAAUCAUUCACCUAAUGUAAUAAAUAAAAGGGAGCAUCAUUUGUUUCUAAACAAAGGAGCUACUAACAGACCUCAAAGAGACGACAUCGAAGAACACAUGAGAUGAGCUUUUAAAGCACAGAAUACAGAGCCAGUCCAGCUACAAAUUAAAGACACUAAAAGGCUGUAACCAAAGUCAGUUGGCAUAUGAAAAGAGUUUGGUAGUUAGAACUCCCAUUUGGUUAUUUUAAAGCAUUAAGACAAGGCAAGAAAGAAGGCUGUUCUCGUGUGAGGAAUUCUAGAGAGAAAUUAAAUCAGUUGAAGAGGAAGAGAAAUUAAAAACACAAAAUAGCGUUUUAAAAAAAAAAACAGUCGAGACCUACAGUUUAGAGCAACUUUCUGUCCUGCACAAAGUCGAGAUGUGAGAAGAAGAGGCAUGGACGUGAACCAGCUUCAGUUUGGGAGCGAAUCGUUGCAGAUGCUGAUGUGAAGGCAGGUUUCUGCAGCAGUUGCAUGUCGCUGCUGCUUUGCCUCCACAGCCAUCACUUCUGCAUUUGUGUGUCCACGUCUGUCUUACAGCCGGCCAUCUCUGCAGUUCAUCACGUCUGCAGUGUGUUAGCAUUUGGACCGGCCCCGGAUGCAAUGCAAGGCAAACAUUUCGAAGUCCUACUGAUAUGUUUUUUUCAUGUUUGUUUCAAAAACCAAAAGUACUGCAGCUUCAAGUAUUGUGCCUUACAUAUAGAAUAUUCUGUCAUAAAUUAGUUAACAUAUACAUUUUUCAAUAUUCAGACAUAUACUUUCAUAUAUACAGAACAAUAAAAUGCUUUUGCUCUUUUUUUCUUCUUUUUCGUCUGUUUUUUCUUUAGAGAAAUCCCUGAGAACGUAUGCUGACAGUUGCCAAGUUUCCACAAGAGCGAGCGCUGUGACAGUUUGUCUUUGUAAAAUGAGCAUACUGAACUUUUGAGACAACACUGCAAAGCCAAAGCAAUCAGCCUGAAGAUGGCAGAAAAUAACCCAGUAAAAUGAAUUCUGAUGGUGGAUUUGGAGUUUUUUCUCGAGCAGAUGGGCAAGGAGGCCUGUGGGGGGGGAGAGUAAAGCUGGAUCCUUAAAAAGAGGUACUCGUCACUUCAGAUGGAGUUGCUCCAUUUGGUUUAAAGCCGUUUGACUUCUCUUUGAGGCUGUGAGCUGAAGGAAGUAAGAGGAGUGCAAGGUAGACAUUUUGCCACUGGACAAUACAGGAUACAGUCAGUGUAAAACUCUCUCACUGUCAUACAUGUAAAGGGAAAAACACACAAACAUCCACAAACUGACAGCCUUCUCCUUCUGCAAACUUUACCGUUUAUACACAUCAAUAACCGUGGGGCCAG
Molecule: long non-coding RNA, 1486 nt
Organism: Amphiprion ocellaris (clown anemonefish)
Lineage: Eukaryota; Metazoa; Chordata; Actinopteri; Pomacentridae
Source: Ensembl